Molecule: long non-coding RNA, 1999 nt
Filed under: Nicotiana tabacum (common tobacco)
Lineage: Eukaryota; Viridiplantae; Streptophyta; Magnoliopsida; Solanales; Solanaceae
Description: long non-coding RNA (NTAB_LNC015596)
Source: RNAcentral
CUACAUUUAAAAGGAUCAGCCACAAUCUUAGCUAUUUUCCAUCGGCAGACCCCCCUCUUCGCGUUCUGAUUUCCUCUUCUUAGUUCUCGAUUGAAAAGCAACACAGACAAUACACAAAAAGGGAAAGGAAUGAAAAAACGAAAAAAAAAAAUUGGGGAGGAAGGCAGAGAAACGUUCUUCUCCUUUCCAUUUUUAGAUUUUAUCAAGUUUUCUUGUUAAAUUUCAAAAAAAAACAAUUCAGAAAAAGUAAAAGAUAUAUUCUGAAAUCUCUUCCUUUUGGAUUUGGUUUUCAAAAAAUAGAGUCAAGCUGAAUUGGGUGUUCAGAUUUGGAGUUUCCUUCGAGAUUGGUUCCAGGUUUAAGUUCGCGGUUCCGAUUUCUUCUUGCUGUUGUAUUUUCGUCGGACUUUCAUCUUGGUGAAUAUGUCAUGGAUACUUUCUUUACAUAUUAAAGAAGAAACAUUUAACAGGUUCAUUUCUGAUUAAUCCCUCUUUAUUCUAUUCUAAUUACUGCGAAUCAAACUUCAAAAGAGCCAUUAAAAGAUAGAGUUUAGUUUACAAUGUUAAUGCAUGUGAAUUGAUCUCUUUUGGUGUUGUAAGAUCUCUGGUUGAUGUUUUCUCCCAACUUCCUUUAGUGAAAUCUCUGUUUUUAUGAUUAAGUAAUGUUAAGGUGUUUAAAUUUCUAUUUUUGUAGAAUUUGCAUUAGACUGCUAGAGCAUUUAAUAGACAAAAUAUCAUCAGCAAAUAUUUUCAAUUGUUUGUCCAAAUGUGAAAUUCUAUGCCUUUAUGAGCUUGGCUGAUCGUUCCUUUUCAUUUGGUUUAGACAUGUGAUUGAGUUUUUUUUCUUCCUUUUUAGUCUUUAUUAUUAUUAAUUAAGAAAAGUCAUCUGCUCAUUUAGAGAUCUAUGUGUUAUGGUUUGCUUCCGUAAAUUAAUUAUUCGAAUAUUUGUAGGCGUGUCCUAAUAUUGUUUAGCCAUAUUUGCCUUACUAGUAUCUCAUUCUUAACUGUUGGAACACUUUUUAGAUAGAUGCUUUAGAAUAAAAAUUAUUUUUAUUUUAUUUUUUUUGUAUAAAAAAAAAGAGUACUUUUUUUAGUUAUCUUAGAAGUUGUUCUUAUCUUGUUUGAGUAAGAAAUUCCUAUAGUUCUUUAGAAUUCUUUAUUAACGUCGAGUCAUAUGCACAAUUCGCUCGAUCAAGUUUCGGCAGAUAUGUACUCUUUCAAACUGAACAAACCAAUACAAUAAUCAUAUGCAUCACACCUUUUCCUUGAUUAGUGUUGGAUUAUUUGGUGCAGAGUGAUACUUUGUGGAGUCGUCAUGCCUUCAGUCAUUCCUCUUAAUACUUCUAUUGUGCUUGAAUGUCAUUUAUUUUGCCCUAAUAUACUAAAUUACUUUAUUGUGUCAUUCCAUUGUUUGUUUAGUAGGUUUGAGUGUGUGUUCGAAAUUAGCAGAAUGGAUGGGAUGGAAUUGGACGUCUAAGUGGCUCUUUUGAUAGCAUUGAUUCAUUUAAUGUACUAUUUCAUCUUCCGUGGCUCAUGGUCCCUUUAAAUAACCAUAUUGCUUAUUUAUAUAUAUGUUUACUUUGUGUAUCUGCUGGAUGGUUUACUCUAGUUCUUAGUUUUGUUGGAUGUAAAUUAUUUAGAUAACGAUGUUGGACCGUGGGGUGAAAUCUCAAAUGAAAUGAAGCUGAACAUGAGCAUGAAAUCUCAUUUAGUAAAAGUACUCCAUAAUCACAUGUCUUUUCACACACAAUCAUUGAAUUAGGAACUAAACAAUCAUGAACUUCGUAGUUUGCUUUAGGAGCAUUAAUUAUAAUUAUCACAGCUAUUACUAAAACUCGAGGGUACAUUUCAUGUGGCCCGGUUCUAAUUUCCAACAAGGUUAAAUAGAAUGUGUCGUGAACCACGGGUGCAUUUCAUGUGGCGUGGCUUGCGAUAUGUUAUUAAUAACCUUGAAUUAAUUCUUUUAAUAAGUAAAAGCGGGUUUUCAAAAGUUAAAAUGCAC